Long non-coding RNA from Hemibagrus wyckioides, 3303 nucleotides. RefSeq lists it as uncharacterized. NCBI's taxonomy places the organism in Eukaryota, Metazoa, Chordata, Actinopteri, Siluriformes, Bagridae. The record is from RefSeq and is a predicted model, not a curated record. The transcript has 2 exons.
CGCCCGGAAGGCUUCUAAAAGACGCACAAAUACGGAUCCUGUGAAGGGACAUGCGUUGAUUGCGCUCUUGUAUAUAAGAUAAGAUAAGAUUUAGAACUUUAUUCAUAAAGAUAAAUAUUUUUUAAACCCGAAUGAAAUUCUUUUGCCAGAGACAGCUUCAGAUAACAAGAAAAAAUAAAUAUUAAUGAAAUAUAAAUGGAAAAAUGUGUACAAAUAUAUCCAAAAGUACAAUAUGUAAUCGAAAAUAUAUAUGAAUUAUAAAAUCUAAAAAAAAAUACAUUAAAUAUUCUAUAUAUACAAAAUAUAUUUAAAGUAAAAGGUGCUUGGGAACUAGAACAUAUUGCAGAUGAUGUGGAAGUGCACAUGGUGUGGUACUGCACAUUAUAUUAUAUUAAUGUACAUUGUAAUUAUUGUGAAAUUUUAUACUCUCAGUGUUCAUUGGGUCAGCGCUGCUCCCUCCAGAAAGGGGAGGAGUUGGAGAGUGUGAUGGACACUGGUAGGAAAGAACUCCUGUGGCGUUCUGUGGUUGUGCUCAGUGGUCCCAGUCUACGACUGAACAUGCUCCGGUACAACUCCAGUGUCGCACACACCUCAACCAGAGACUCCAGCUCCUCCCACACACCUCAACCAGAGACUCCAGCUCCUCCCACACACCUCAACCAGAGACUCCAGCUCCUCCCACACACCUCAACCAGAGACUCCAGCUCCUCCCACACACCUCAACCAGAGACUCCAGCUCCUCCCACACACCUCAACCAGAGAUCCAGCUCCUCCCACACACCUCAACCAGAGACUCCAGCUCCACUCCCAUGAGAGAGCCCGCUUUCCUAAUACACUUGUUGAGUCUGUUAGCAUCGUCCGUCUUCACCCUGCUACCCCCAGCACACUAGAUCGUAGAAGAUGGUGCUGGCUCUACCACUGUGUGGUAGAACAUCUGCACAGUUCUACAGACAUUAAAGGAGCUGAGUCUCCUGAGGAAGUACAGCCGACUCUGACCUUUAUUAUACAAUCACUGAGCACUAUACCACUACUAAUUCAUUCAAUCAUCUAAUUUAGCAGAAGUGCAAAGCAUAAAAUCCUCAGAUAUGAGCCAGUAGCUUCCGGUAAUGUUUACAUCAAGCAUAAGAAUGAGGGGAAAAUUUGUGAUUUGUGGCUGUUCUGCUGAUGGAAACACCUUGUUGUUCUUCUUUGAUAGAAAGUCUGCAGUAACUCACAUAACCACUCUGUAUAACGGUGACAAGCAGAAAAGCAUCUCAGAAUGAACAACAAACCUGGAGGUGGAUGAGCUAAGAUCACCUCAGGUUCCUCUUCCAUCAGCCAGUGGGCAGCAGAAUCACCAAAACUGGACAGAUGAAGAUGAUAAAACAUAGCCUGCUCUGAAGAAUCACAAGGUACAUCAGUCCACAAAGUUAUUCAGAAGUCCCCUGUACUCAGACUCCUGUCCAUCCCUAAUACACCCCACCACUGCAGAGUCAGAAAACUUCUGCAGGUGGCACGAUACAGAGAUGUACUGAAAUUCUGAGGUGUACAGAGUGAACAAAAAUGGAGACAGGACAGUUCCCUGAGGUGCUUCUCUGUUACUGACCACUGUGGCAGACAGGCAGGCCCCCAAUUACACCAACUGGGGCCUAUCUGACAGGAGGUCAACAAUCCAGGAGAUGGUGGAUGAUCUGAUCCUCACAGUACCACCUUGGCCAUCCAGAUAGGACUGGGUCCAGAGCAAGGUUCACCUGUGUGACCAGGUGGGUUAAAACUAGUCUCUUCAACACCUUCAUGAAAUAUGACGGCAAAGCAACCCAUCUGUAGUCUCUGAGGCCAGAUGGUGUGGCUUUCUUAGGUAUCGGUACUAGACAAAAUGUUUUCCAUAACACCGGUACCCUUUCCUGCAUCAGACUCUGGUUGUAGAUGUACUUCAGGAUACCAGACAGCUGAGUAGCCCAGGACUUAAGAACCCUGGGAUUAAUGCCAUCAGGACCUGCAGCCUUGCCUUGAUCAGGGCUCUGCAACUGGUUGGCCAUCACAGACAAGUAAGAGGAAGUGGUUGGUCCAGUGGAGGUAGGAAUUAGGGGGACUGUGGUCAGGGACACUCAGCAAGUAUGAUGCUGAGUGUCCCCCAAGCUGACCUUUAUAUUGAAGCCUGUAAUUCAUUUGUUAUUCGCUGUAUUUGUGUAGGAGCAUUAAUGUUAAUAUAAAUUAAACUGCACAUAAUAAAAAUUAGCGAUUACUUCAUUGUUUUUGUCUUUAUUGAUUUCUGGUAAGUAAAUAUAAAGUAAUGUACAAAAAAAAAUAGUAAGAAAUGAAAAAUGUACUAUAAAUGUACCUGAUCCGGUUCCUUCGCUAAUAAAUAAAUAAAUAAAUAUUUUUAAAAAAAUGAAAAAAAGAAAAGGGAAAAAGGCGUGGAUGAAGGAAGAGAGAGAGAGAGAGAUAGAGAGAGAUGGGGGCGUCUGCAUGACGUCACCAGGCGUUCACUCUAUGCUCUAUAAAACCCUCAUGGUGUCUCUCAGGCUUGCCAUAACUUCACUUCUCUUCAGAUCUUCAGGUGUGUGUGUGUGUGUGUGUGUGUGAGUGAGAGAGAGAGAGAGAGAGAGAGAGAGAGGAGACAAGAAGAAAACUUCACCAUGAUUAAAGUUCUAACGGCGUGUAUCGUGCUGCUGGUGCUGGCCAUGCAUUUCUCAACACAGGUUGAUGCUCAAACUGCAGGAAACACGACAACAACACAGGCCACAAAAACCACUACCCUAAAUGGUGGAGGAUUGACGGUGCUGCCCGGCCUCCUCGGCAUCGUCCUUCCCACCGCCCUGCUCGCGGCUCUGCUUCAACAUCUCCACUGCUGAACCCUCACGCCGAGGAGAUCCGGAGUAAAGCUGGACGGAGAGACGCACCCAAAGAGCCACACUUUCUAAAUUCUUCAAUCCAAGUGGAAAAGCUGUUCCUGAGAUCUGCUUCUAACAGAUUAAAUAAAUCUUUCACUUAGCGUCUCUAGUCGGGGAUGAAGAAUCUUCAAAUUGAAGCUCUCUGGAAACGUCUCGUCCGGGAAACCUUCUAUUCUUUCCUCUGAAGCCUAGGAAAUCAAGCUGCAUUGAUCGAGGCGACCCACAAAAUGACCAGCUUGCUCCAAAUUUCUCUCUUUUUGCUUGAAAAUAUACCUUUAGGUCUUUAAUGAAUCCUUUAUAGAUAUUUUUACAUUUGAUCUGUUAAAUCAUAAUAGUACUGUAAUAAUGUCCUGAUUAAUUUUUUUGUAUAAAUCUUUAACAUUAUUUUAUUCAUAAAGGCAAACAAAUAAACGAACCGAUGGCUAAUUGA